GUCCACGCUGUAAACGUUGGGCGCUAGGUGUGGGGACCCUCUCCGGGUUUCUGCGCCGCAGCUAACGCAUUAAGCGCCCCGCCUGGGGAGUACGGCCGCAAGGCUAAAACUCAAAGGAAUUGACGGGGGCCCGGCACAAGCGGCGGAGCAUGCGGAUUAAUUCGAUGCAACGCGAAGAACCUUACCUGGGUUUGACAUCGCCGGAAAAUUCGCAGAGAUGCGGGGUCCUUCGGGCCGGUGACAGGUGGUGCAUGGCUGUCGU
This 262-nucleotide ribosomal RNA is filed under the name uncultured bacterium. RNAcentral describes it as "partial 16S ribosomal RNA". It matches the Rfam family "Bacterial small subunit ribosomal RNA", at positions 793 to 1055 of the family's 1533-position model. The record is from RNAcentral.